RNAcentral lists this unclassified non-coding RNA (217 nucleotides) under rhizosphere metagenome. Its description in RNAcentral is "partial ribosomal RNA internal transcribed spacer region". The record is from RNAcentral.
GUAGGUGAACCUGCGGAAGGAUCAUUACUGAGAACUUGCCCUUUGGGGUAGAUCUCCCACCCUCUGUUUACAAUACCUUUGUUGCUUUGGCAGGCCCGUCUUUGGACCACCGGCUUCGGCUGGUCAGUGUCUGCCAGAGGACCCCAAAUUCAUUAUUUUGUGUUGUCUGAGUACUAUAUAAUAGUUAAAACUUUCAACAACGGAUCUCUUGGUUCUG